GGAUGAGUGGCAGAGAGGCUGAAUGCGCGCGACUCGAAAUCGUGUAUACGGGGUGACUCGUAUCGGGGGUUCAAAUCCCUCCUCAUCCGCCA
RNAcentral lists this transfer RNA (92 nucleotides) under Proteobacteria bacterium CAG:495. RNAcentral describes it as "transfer RNA-Ser(CGA)". It matches the Rfam family "tRNA". Rfam says of the family: Transfer RNA (tRNA) molecules are approximately 80 nucleotides in length. Lineage: Bacteria; Pseudomonadati; Pseudomonadota. RNAcentral also lists the same sequence under 3 other names. The record is from RNAcentral.